This 253-nucleotide ribosomal RNA is filed under the name uncultured bacterium. RNAcentral describes it as "partial 16S ribosomal RNA". It matches the Rfam family "Bacterial small subunit ribosomal RNA", at positions 524 to 776 of the family's 1533-position model. The record is from RNAcentral.
UACGUAGGGUGCGAGCGUUGCCCGGAUUUAUUGGGCGUAAAGGGCGCGUAGGCGGUGAGAUGCGUCCGUUGUGAAAUCGCCCGGCUCAACUGGGCGGGGUCAGCGGAUACGGUCUCACUUGAGCAAGCUAGGGGGCAAUGGAAUUCCCGGUGUAGCGGUGAAAUGCGUAGAGAUUUGGAGGAACACCAGUGGCGAAGGCGACUUUCUGGUCUGUAACUGACACUGAGGCGCGAAAGCGUGGGGAGCAAACAGG